GACGAACGCUGGCGGCGCGCCUAACACAUGCAAGUCGAACGAGCGAGGGAGAGCUUGCUUUCUCAAGCGAGUGGCGAACGGGUGAGUAACGCGUGAGGAACCUGCCUCAAAGAGGGGGACAACAGUUGGAAACGACUGCUAAUACCGCAUAAGCCCACGACCCUGCCUCGGGUAGAGGGAAAAGGAGCAAUCCGCUUUGAGAUUGCCUCGCGUCCGAUUAGCUAGUUGGUGAGGUAACGGCCCACCAAGGCGACGAUCGGUAGCCGGACUGAGAGGAUGAACGGCCACAGUGGGACGGAGACACGGCCCAGACACCGACGAGAGGCAGCAGUGGGGAAUCUGCCGCAAUGGACGAAAGUCUGACGGAGCAACGCCGCGUGAGUGAUGACGGCCGUCGGGUUGGAAAGCUCGGGUAAUCGGGACGAAAGGCCUGCUUGCGAAUAGGGAGAAGGAUUGACGGUACCGGAAGAGAAAGCCACGGCUAACUACGUG
This 492-nucleotide ribosomal RNA is filed under the name uncultured bacterium. RNAcentral describes it as "partial 16S ribosomal RNA". It matches the Rfam family "Bacterial small subunit ribosomal RNA", at positions 28 to 507 of the family's 1533-position model. The record is from RNAcentral.